This is a long non-coding RNA of Pieris napi, 575 nucleotides long. RefSeq lists it as uncharacterized. Lineage: Eukaryota; Metazoa; Arthropoda; Insecta; Lepidoptera; Pieridae. The record is from RefSeq and is a predicted model, not a curated record. The transcript has 4 exons.
ACUUUCACUAUUGUGUUUAUUUUUGUUUAACUUUUAUUUUUGCCUUUAUUAUUACUUUAUUCAUAAUUGAAAGACAAUUUCUAUUGAAGAGACUUAAAAUGCAUAAAUCAUUAUUUAUUUUCGUUUUAGUUGCUUUCAUUCCUUUGUGCUUCACUAAGCAUCAUAAGUUCGAACAUCGUGAAGUGCACAAAUUUCCACAUCAUGUUAUUGAUGUAAGUCCUGUCAAUGUUGCUAUUAAGUCAAACCAUGAAGAAUCAGAUUUAUCGAAUAAUCAAUCGGAUGAUUUAUCGGAUGAUUUAUCGGAUUACCAAGACAUAGACAGCGACCAAUAUGACGAACAAAUUAUCUGUCCGUUUGGCAUUUUCAACUUUUUGAUUCCCUUCUGUUAAGCAACGUGGAAAAUGUAUUUUUCUUGGCUAUAAUUUUGAAGGUAAGUCUCCUGUAAUAAUAUUUCACUUCUAAUUUCUAAACAACAUUUUGAUGGCUGUUUCAUGUUUCAGCAAUAUUGUAAUCCCAAGGCUUAUUAAAACUGUGAUAAUUUUUAUUGAUACAAAAUUAAAAGUUAUGACAUUAAA